CUACGGGGCGCUGCAGCAAGGAAUCGUAGGCAAUGGGGGCAACCCUGACCUCGCGACGUCGCGUGGGGGAUGAAGGCUUUCGGGUCGUAAACCCCUUUUUCCAGGGAAGAAUAAUGACGGUACCUGGAGAAUAAGUCACGGCUAACUACGUGCCAGCAGCCGCGGUAAAACGUAGGUGGCGAACGUUAUCCGGAUUCACUGGGCGUAAAGAGUGCGUAGGCGGUCUAUCAAGUCGGAUGUAAAAUCUCCCGGCCCAACUGGGAGGCACCAUCCGAUACUGUUGGACUAGAGUGCAUCAGGGAGAGUGGAAUUCCCGGUGUAGUGGUGGAAUGCGUAGAUAUCGGGAGGAACACCAGUGGCGAAAGCGGCUCUCUGGGAUGUAACUGACGCUGUUGCACGAAAGCGUGGGUAGCAAACAGGAUUAGAUACCCGUGUAGUC
This 439-nucleotide ribosomal RNA is filed under the name uncultured bacterium. RNAcentral describes it as "partial 16S ribosomal RNA". It matches the Rfam family "Bacterial small subunit ribosomal RNA", at positions 339 to 795 of the family's 1533-position model. The record is from RNAcentral.